RNAcentral lists this long non-coding RNA (1079 nucleotides) under Sus scrofa (pig). RNAcentral describes it as "lncRNA (ENSSSCG00045020075.1)". Lineage: Eukaryota; Metazoa; Chordata; Mammalia; Artiodactyla; Suidae. The record is from RNAcentral.
AGAGAGGUUUGGGAUUAAUCCAUAAACUUUAACAUGAAAAGGAAUGAAAUGUCACCCGAUUUCUAAAGGCCGGAAGAAUUUGUGAGGGUCUGGUUGUUUGAAUCUCCCGGCCAAUGAGAGAUAAUUUUAGCUCCUGCAGUACUUCUGCUUUUAAAAUGGGAGCAGUAACUGGAAUAGGGGGAAGAGAAAGGCCUGAGUGUCUAGAAAGGCUUCCUCAGAGGGGGGUUCCCCAGAUGGCGGUGGGGGGGCGGGCAAGGAAGUGGCUUGUCUCCUCUGCUUCCUGCAGGAUGCCAGACUAGAGGUUACAACUCUGCAAUUUAGCAUCAUACUCCUCGUGGGCAUUUGUAAUGGGGGGGGGGAGGAACAGGAGGGAGGGAGGCACAGGUGAAAGGCAAUAGGAGUGCAUGGCAGGGGGCUGAGUACUUUUCCUUUUGACUCCCCAGGACACGUAUUAAGAGGAAAGGGAAUUGUCCAGCUCAUCUCAGAAGGGCAUCUGUACCUCUGGGGCCAGUUUCAAGCAGUAAAAGCUGACCAGCUACAAAGUCAGGGGAGACCUAUGAAGCUAUGAAAAUGAGAUACCUGGAGUUCCCGUCGUGGCACAUGGUUAACAAAUCUAAGAACCAUGAGGUUUCGGGUUUGAUCCCUGGCCUUGCUCAGUGGGUUAAUGAUCCGGCGUGGCUGUGAGCUGUGGUGUAGGUUACAGACGCAGCUCAGAUCGCACGUUGCUGUGGGUCGGGCGUAGGCCGGGGGCUACAGCUCCGAUUGGACCCCUAGUCUGGGAACCGCCAUAUGCCGCAGGAGCUGCCCACGGAAUGGCAAAAAGACAAAAAAAAAAAAAAAAAAAAAAAAAAAAAAAAAAGAAAGAAAGAAAGAAAAUGAGACCUGAUGCCAUUUGCCUGGACCUUCCUUCACCUGCAGGGAGGAAGGGCAGGAAGGAUGAGCUAAAGGCAGGGAGAUGAUAUCACAGCCUCUAGGCAACCAAUCCCAGCUGGGGUCUCCCUGCUCUUCCUCAGGGGUCCUGGACUCCACACGCAGAGCCCACCUGUCUGACUGCAGGUUCUUGGAUUGAUUCCGCCCAG